CUCUUACUCUCUCACAUACAACAAGCUUAAAGAAAUAUGCAGACUCCAUUCUUCCUAGAGAUCACUCUAGGAUUAUUGUUAAUUCCCUUUUAUCAUGCAAUUAUUUUCCUAUUUUUCCGCUAUUUUUCUACUUAUUUGACAAGGAGUCUUGAAAUAUGUUUCUAUGAGGUUAUUUAAUUAUAUAUUUUAAUCUAUUUCUUGGUGUACUGAAUUAGCUUAUCCUUUUCUGCUCAACAUAUGCUGGAACCUGUGAAAAAAAUCUUAUCUAAAAACCCAAGAGGAAAGGAAAGAAUUUGGAGUCUUAAUUUUUUUUUUCUUUUGGUUUUAUCUGUUAUUUAUAUGUUAAUUUUCUCCUUACUUAUCUUUUUGUGGAGCAAGAACCAUUAACGUUCCAAAGAAAUAAGGUUUUCUUUAUGUUUGAUUUUUAUUCUGAAAAUGAUGAAAUCUCUAGUGGCUAGAUAGUCCACUAUUGUAGCUAAAAUUGUUACUCCAUUGUUCCAAGAUAUGGAUGUACUUAGAUUUCCCCCCUAUAAAUAUGUCUAUGUAAAGCAUUUAUGAUAACCAUUUUUAAUGGUUGAAGGAUAGGGUUUUCUGGUCCACUUGAAGACAUUCAUAAAAUUGAAGCGAUACAGAUAAAAUAGGGUUUCUGGGUCGAUGGUUGAACGGUCAACGCAGUUGUUGUUUGCAGAUGUAGCAUCAUCAAGAUUCACAUAUUAUAAAGGCAUGAUGAUUAACGACCAUGGCCUUUUUGGAGGUGAGAAUCUUGAUGAUGCUGCAUUAGCAAUAAACGACUACCUAACUUACUGGAGCUGAGGCUGACACUCUAAGCAAAAGGAGAAAUUCAGACCCCAGAAGUAUAGUACGGUGAAUUUGGAUCUUUGUUUUAUUUUGAGACUGUUCACUGCUCUUUUUGAAGACCCUGCUGAUGAAAUGAGGACUGUGUAGAUCUGUGAUUAUUCUUUCCUGGCAAGUGAAGUUCUGAUUAUUAAUGGUAUCUCAACCUGAUAGAUCAGAAGUUGUCUUUCAUCUCUCUCUCACACACACAGUGUGUGCUUUAUUUUCUUGAUGUAGUUUGAUUGAAUUAUAGAAAUAUUACCAUCAUAUUAUUCGGUUCUUUUUUUUUUCUGUUUGUUUACAAAAAUAAAAACCUACCUUAGCUAAUUGUUCAAUAGUGUUGGAGAUUUUUAUCAAAACCUAAGAUUGUUUGAAUAAGAUUUGAUUUGGUUGAUUUAGUCGUUUUUCAAAGAACUUUUGGCACUUUUAACUUUAAACCUGAUAUAUUUUAGGUCUUCAGAAGAGAAAGAGCUAAAGGAGACGAACAAGGGUUGUGAUGGACUCCAUCAUCCAUACUCAGAGGUCUCGGGUUUGAGUCCGGAGAUCCAUGCCGUGAUACCCGGCUGGUCACGGAUGUCACGGCCUUCUGUUAAUCGUGCUCGGUUGCCUGACAACACUCUUUGAAGUCUUUUGGGAUUUUGACCGAUCCCGGGGUCAUGGCCCCGAUUUUUCCGUGGGUGGGUGAUGUGCCCCCGGACCCUGGCUCGAUGAGACUCUCGCCUCGAUUCCGAUUUUUUAUCAUGACGUCUCUUGCUGGAUUUACCUUAUUGGAAACCAGGGUGUCCCAUGGGCCCGGUUUCACCCGUAUACACCCUUUCUCUUUCCUUUUCAAAUUGUUUUCCUCCUUUAGUGUUUUGCUACACACUUCAUGUAUAUUGAUGAUGUACCUACAAUAGGUGUCAAUUCAAUUCUCACUGUAUUCCCGCCCUCUUUCUUGAUCCCCUAUAUAACGUAAGGAUUUUUUAAGAAUA
Non-coding RNA from Nicotiana tabacum (common tobacco), 1805 nucleotides. NCBI's taxonomy places the organism in Eukaryota, Viridiplantae, Streptophyta, Magnoliopsida, Solanales, Solanaceae. The record is from RefSeq and is a predicted model, not a curated record.